Molecule: long non-coding RNA, 263 nt
Filed under: Carica papaya (papaya)
Lineage: Eukaryota; Viridiplantae; Streptophyta; Magnoliopsida; Brassicales; Caricaceae
Description: long non-coding RNA (CPAP_LNC001135)
Source: RNAcentral
UCCGUCCACCAUCUCCCAGGAUAUCUAGUCAGGCUGACCACAUUAUACAAUUAUCAAUUUACAUAACCUUUUGUUCCCCUUUUCCUCAGUCAGCAUCAUUAAAUCACACACAAACAAGCAAACUAGUAAUUUAUGUCAAACAAGACAACAUACAACAUCGGGUUCUCAGUCAUUCAACCCAUAAUCAAUAAAACAGUGAUAUAUGCACACAAAACUAUGAAAUGAAAACAUCAGACCUCAUACUGCAUUUAAAACUGUAAAAU